CGGUAGCACAGAGAGCUUGCUCUCGGGUGACGAGUGGCGGACGGGUGAGUAAUGUCUGGGAAACUGCCCGAUGGAGGGGGAUAACUACUGGAAACGGUAGCUAAUACCGCAUAAUGUCGCAAGACCAAAGAGGGGGACCUUCGGGCCUCUUGCCAUCGGAUGUGCCCAGAUGGGAUUAGCUGGUAGGUGGGGUAACGGCUCACCUAGGCGACGAUCCCUAGCUGGUCUGAGAGGAUGACCAGCCACACUGGAACUGAGACACGGUCCAGACUCCUACGGGAGGCAGCAGUGGGGAAUAUUGCACAAUGGGCGCAAGCCUGAUGCAGCCAUGCCGCGUGUAUGAAGAAGGCCUUCGGGUUGUAAAGUACUUUCAGCGAGGAGGAAGGCGUUGUGGUUAAUAACCACAGCGAUUGACGUUACUCGCAGAAGAAGCACCGGCUAACUCCGUGCCAGCAGCCGCGGUAAUACGGAGGGUGCAAGCGUUAAUCGGAAUUACUGGGCGUAAAGCGCACGCAGGCGGUCUGUCAAGUCGGAUGUGAAAUCCCCGGGCUCAACCUGGGAACUGCAUCCGAAACUGGCAGGCUAGAGUCUUGUAGAGGGGGGUAGAAUUCCAGGUGUAGCG
Molecule: ribosomal RNA, 622 nt
Filed under: Citrobacter sp.
Lineage: Bacteria; Pseudomonadati; Pseudomonadota; Gammaproteobacteria; Enterobacterales; Enterobacteriaceae
Description: bacterial SSU rRNA
Rfam family: Bacterial small subunit ribosomal RNA
Source: RNAcentral